Molecule: long non-coding RNA, 493 nt
Organism: Phyllostomus hastatus (greater spear-nosed bat)
Lineage: Eukaryota; Metazoa; Chordata; Mammalia; Chiroptera; Phyllostomidae
Exons: 3
Source: RefSeq, a predicted model, not a curated record
GAGGCGAUCUGGCCGCCUCAAAAGCAAUGGACUUCCAGCAGCCCGGCGGCGCUGGUGGGAUCGUGCGGCUGGAACCGGUGUGUCGGCGCCCGACCGCCUGGCCGGAGACUGUACCUGCAGGAUUAUGAAGGCCCAGCGGCAAUGCCUUUCCUGGAGCAAGUACGGCUGCCUUCGUGAAAGACUUCUGAGGGUGAAACAUUCGCAUCUGCUGGAGCUCACGUAGUGUUUGCACGGUUUAUGCCAGGCUGAGCAAACACAGCUUUCCUCAGGCUGCGACUGGAAAUGAAUACUGCACUGACAGGGAGUAGAAGAGGUUGCGGCUGCUUCUAGUGUCCGGCAGCUGCAGUGGCAGCAAUUCCGGCCACGGUGUUUUAUUAACAGCAAGUCUCCCUCUCAGGAACUGACCCCAGUCCACACCCCUGGGCCGCCAGCCCUUCCUCGCGCUGACCUGGCAGGAAACAGAGGAGGAGGGAUGAUGUUUUCCUGUUUUCAC